RNAcentral lists this ribosomal RNA (465 nucleotides) under uncultured bacterium. RNAcentral's name for it is "partial 16S ribosomal RNA". It matches the Rfam family "Bacterial small subunit ribosomal RNA", at positions 338 to 795 of the family's 1533-position model. The record is from RNAcentral.
CCUACGGGUGGCAGCAGUGGGGAAUAUUGCGCAAUGGGCGAAAGCCUGACGCAGCGACGCCGCGUGAGGGAUGAAGGUCUUCGGAUCGUAAACCUCUGUCAGCAGGGAAGAACGGUCACUGUGCUAAUCAGCAGUGAAUUGACGGUACCUUCAAAGGAAUCACCGCCUAACUCCGUGCCAGCAGCCGCGGUAAUACGGCGGGUGCGAGCGUUAAUGGGAAUUACUGGGCGUAAAGCGCUCGUAGGCGGUAUGUCAAGUCAAGGGUGAAAGCCCCGCGCUCAACGUGGGAACUGCCUUUGAAACUGGAAAACUGGAGUGUGUGAGAGGAUAGUGGAAUUCCAGGUGUAGGAGUGAAAUCCGUAGAUAUCUGGAGGAACAUCAGUGGCGAAGGCGACUAUCUGGCACAUAACUGACGCUGAGGAGCGAAAGCGUGGGUAGCAAACAGGAUUAGAUACCCCAGUAGUC